GAUGCCUGAUCUCAUCAAUCUAGCGGGAGAGACAGGAUAACCUGUCCGAGAGUAUAGCGCCACUAUGACUCCGCCGGAAAAAUUACUUUAAAAAUCGCCAAAAAUUACUUGGAGCAAAGGGCAGUCGGCGGAGCUUCGCCAAAGCUGGCGCAGUCGGUUUUGACCUGUAGCAGAGAACCAAUUCUGGAGAACAGCCUCACUUCUUUGAUUGAAUACUCACAUAAUGCAUUGGAACAUGACAUGAGAUUAAGGUUUAAUAAUGAUAGAAUGAAGACCAUAAUAAAAGAGACCUCUACUUAGCAAUUCUUACCUUUCUUACCUAUUUGAUGAAGAUGUCUUUUGAAAGGUGUACUGCAAGGAACAAAAUGUUUGUAAAUUCUGCUUUUACCAAGGUGGAUAAUUACUGUACCUUCCUCAUGGAAAAAGUUUUAUUUAAAGUGUUAUUUCUCAUUGAAUACUAUCAAAAAGGAAAAAAAAUGACAUAAACUUUUGAGAUAGAUUUGGCUCUAGUAAGUAUUUAGAUAUAUCACUUGCAUAUCUGGGAGAAGAAAUAAGAGACUAUCAUCAAUACAUUCCCAUCUACUAAAAAAUUUUCUUUUACACAUGUCAAGGGAUUACUUAUAACUUCCAUUUUAUUACUAAUAGCUCGAACCCGUUUAAUGAAGACCAAACUCCUCCACCAGAAAUUUAAGUUUAUGUUCUUACUUUGUUUACUUAUAAAAUACAUCUCAGGUAUUUUGGAUGUCUUUUUUUUUUUCUAAGCCUAUAUGCAAUGAAAAAUAUAUUGGCAAAAUAAAUGUUUAAACCUUUUACGUUAAAGUUACUUUGAAAGAUGACAAGUUAGCUGCUGUUUUUGUCUACAUUAUACUGAAAUUAAAUGUUUAUAAUUUAUAUUUUGGGUUUAUUUAUUUAUAAAUCAUGGAGUUUAUGCAAAAACAUGAGUAGUACAGAUUCUCCUCCAAUUCUGUAGGACUUUGAAUAAUGUGAUAUUUUUCUUAUAAUUGGACCCUUGUGUUUUGAAGAAAUGCCAACUGCUUGAAGAAUCUCCUUGUUAUUUGUAUUAUUUGCUAUAGGGUUAGAUGUUGAGAAAUUCUGCUGACAAAAAAUUUUAAGCCAGUUUUACACUAAAUGUUCCUCAGUCUGAUUAAUUUGUUAUUGGAUGUAUUCUGUAUCUUUCUUUUGUAAUUUGUAACUUUUACCCACUUAGCACGAAUGAUUCUAUUAAAGAAAAUCAUUAGGAAGUGGUAGAAACUUUAAAUCACCCCAGAGUUUGCCUGUUUCCAUAUUUUAUUAUCUUAUAAUCUUUGGGAGUGCUUACACUUAUAGAGCUAACAUUUUCAGAGAUACAGGUUCUCAUAGUACCACUAAAACUUUCUUCCUCUUUGGACUGAAUACCUAUAAUUAUAACUAUAUGGUAGUUUAAGUUUCCUUGUGAUUAGUCAAAAAUACCAUUUUAGUAUGAAGCAAUGAAGUCUAUUAUUUGUUGUCCCAUAAUUGAGAAAGCUUAAAUACACCUUUUAUUAAGAGUUUGUAAAUUCUAGCUUAGUCUACACAGAUUUUUAUAUCAAUUUGUUUAUAUUUUUAUUAAUGUCAUUUCUGGAAGUGUGAAAAUGUUAAUGUUCGACAAGCAACAUUAAAAAUAGAUUUAAAACAUUUA
RNAcentral lists this non-coding RNA (1657 nucleotides) under Pongo abelii (Sumatran orangutan). Lineage: Eukaryota; Metazoa; Chordata; Mammalia; Primates; Hominidae. The record is from RNAcentral.